AACGCACCUUGCGCCCUUUGGUAUUCCGAAGGGCAUGCCUGUUUGAGUGUCAUUAAAUUAUCAACCUUGUUCGCUUUUCGGAGCUUGAGCGAGGCUUGGAUGUGAGGGUUUUUGCUGGCUUCCUUCAGUGGAUGGUCUGCUCCCUUUAAAUGCAUUAGUGGGAUCUCUUUUGUGGACCGUCACUUGGUGUGAUAAUUAUCUAUACUUCAACCAAUUUAAGUUAGCUGGCUUCUAAUCGAUCCUUAGUGAUCACUUUGUGUAUUUGACCUCAAAUCAGGUAGGACUACCCGCUGAACUUAA
This 300-nucleotide ribosomal RNA is filed under the name uncultured fungus. RNAcentral describes it as "eukaryotic LSU rRNA". The stretch from base 1 to 52 matches the Rfam family "5.8S ribosomal RNA", at positions 103 to 154 of the family's 154-position model. The record is from RNAcentral. Lineage: Eukaryota; Fungi.